Non-coding RNA from Doryrhamphus excisus (bluestripe pipefish), 251 nucleotides. NCBI's taxonomy places the organism in Eukaryota, Metazoa, Chordata, Actinopteri, Syngnathiformes, Syngnathidae. The record is from RefSeq and is a predicted model, not a curated record.
CCCUACUCCCUCUGAAGCUCAUUAUACGCCUGCACAUUUUCUUUGGGAUUAUUUUAUUGCUCCUUUAUCAACUGUAUGGUGACUGUCUUGAAAGCAAGCCUGCUAAGUGACCAGCCAUCGUUAUGCAGAGCGUGCUAGUUAAAGGCAGAAUUCGCCGGGCGUGCUUCAACAAAAGAUGCCUGCCAAGGGACCAGACCAAAAAAAAAGACAAGAAAAAAAUUCCUUGACACACAAUGCACCUUGAAUUCCUU